Non-coding RNA from Thalictrum thalictroides, 82 nucleotides. The record is from the annotation of a GenBank genome assembly. Lineage: Eukaryota; Viridiplantae; Streptophyta; Magnoliopsida; Ranunculales; Ranunculaceae.
GAGCAAAUGAUGUGAGGUAUUGAUAAAUUUUCUGAAUUCUCUAUGUUGCUUCAAACAUCGAGCUUUUUAAAACUGAUGCUCA